RNAcentral lists this ribosomal RNA (1217 nucleotides) under uncultured Rhizaria. RNAcentral describes it as "SSU rRNA". It matches the Rfam family "Eukaryotic small subunit ribosomal RNA", at positions 577 to 1804 of the family's 1831-position model. The record is from RNAcentral.
CGGUAAUUCCAGCUCCAAUAGCGUAUACUAAAGUUGUUGCAGUUAAAAAGCUCGUAGUUGGAUUUCUGCGGGGACGGAGCGGCCGGUCGCAACUUGCGACUCGAGCUAGCGCUUUCCCCGCAUCCUGCCGCGAACCGUGCUACCAUUAGUUUGGUGGCGCUGGGGAUCGGCUCGAUUACUUUGAGAAAAAUAGAGUGUUCAAAGCAGGCCACACGCCUUGAAUAAGUUAGCAUGGAAUAAUGACUAAGGACUUUGGUUCUUUUCGUUGGUGUUCGGGACUGAAGUAAUGAUUGAUAGGGACAGUUGGGGCGGUCCGUAUUCCAAAGCGAGAGGUGAAAUUCUUAGACCUUCGGAAGACGAACAGCUGCGAAAGCGUUCCGCAAGGAUGUUCCCUUUGAUCAAGAACGAAAGUUGGGGGAUCGAAGACGAUCAGAUACCGUCGUAGUCUCAACUAUAAACUAUACCAGCUAGGGAUCGGCUAACGUUUAAUUAUUCGACUUGGUCGGCACCUUAUGAGAAAUCAAAGCAUCUGGGUUCCGGGGGGAGUAUGGUCGCAAGGCUGAAACUUAAAGGAAUUGACGGAAGGGCACCACCAGCCGUGGAGCCUGUGGCUUAAUUUGACUCAACACGGGAAAACUUACCAGGUCCGGACAUAGUAAGGAUUGACAGAUUGAUAGCUCUUUCUUGAUUCUGUGGGUGGUGGUGCAUGGCCGUUUUUAGUCGGUGGAUGUGAUCUGUCUGCUUAAUUGCGUUAACGGACGAGACCCCAGCCUGCUAAAUAGCGCGGCCGAGCUUUGCUCGGUGCGAGCUUCUUAGAGGGACCAUGAUGCGCGAUAGCACAAGGAAGUUUGGGGCAACAACAGGUCUGUGAUGCCCUUAGAUGUUCUGGGCCGCACACGGGCUACACUGGCGCCUGCAACGAGCAUAUCAGCUGGCCCGAGAGGGUCUUGGCUAAUCUUUGGAACCGGCGCCGUGCUUGGGAUUGACCAUUGCAAUUGUUGGUCAUGCAACGAGGAAUGCCUUGUAAACGCGAGUCAUCAGCUCGCAUUGAAUACGUCCCUGCCCUUUGUACACACCGCCCGUCGCUCCUACCGAUGAAUGUUCCGAUGAAAUUUUCGGAGAGCACCAGAGAACGGGGCUCCGCCUUGCAGAUCUGGAGGCUCAAAGUCACUUAAAUCUGAACAUUUCGAGGAAGGAGAAGUCGUAACAAGGUAACC